Molecule: long non-coding RNA, 166 nt
Organism: Bufo bufo (common toad)
Lineage: Eukaryota; Metazoa; Chordata; Amphibia; Anura; Bufonidae
Exons: 3
Source: RefSeq, a predicted model, not a curated record
GUGUUUGUACUGGGGGUCUAAAUACGUUGCCACCAAGUACUUGUCCUUGCCCUUUAUGCUUUUUAUACGGGGGUCCCUCUUCAAACACUGGAGCAUGAAGGCCCCCAUUUGCACUAAAUUGGAAGCGGUGGAGCGCCCUGGCUCCUGCUCAUCGCACAGGAGAAUG